RNAcentral lists this ribosomal RNA (403 nucleotides) under Verrucomicrobiota bacterium. Its description in RNAcentral is "Verrucomicrobia bacterium partial 16S ribosomal RNA". It matches the Rfam family "Bacterial small subunit ribosomal RNA", at positions 355 to 776 of the family's 1533-position model. Lineage: Bacteria; Pseudomonadati; Verrucomicrobiota. The record is from RNAcentral.
UGGGGAAUAUUGCACAAUGGGCGCAAGCCUGAUGCAGCAACGCCGCGUGAACGAUGAAGGUCUUCGGCUCGUAAAGUUCUGUUGCAGGGGAAGAUAAUGACGGUACCCUGUGAGGAAGCCCCGGCUAACUACGUGCCAGCAGCCGCGGUAAUACGUAGGGGGCUAGCGUUAUCCGGAUUUACUGGGCGUAAAGGGUGCGUAGGUGGUCUUUCAAGUCGGUGGUUAAAGGCUACGGCUCAACCGUAGUUAGCCUCCGAAACUGGAAGACUUGAGUGCAGGAGAGGAAAGUGGAAUUCCCAGUGUAGCGGUGAAAUGCGUAGAUAUUGGGAGGAACACCAGUAGCGAAGGCGGCUUUCUGGACUGCAACUGACACUGAGGCGCGAAAGCGUGGGGAGCAAACAGG